AUUAUGAUGUGCCGCUUUGUCUCUCCAUCCUCCCUCUCUCUCUCUCCCUCUCUCUCUCACACACACACAUACACACACACUCUCUAUCCAUCAAUCCCACCACCAUCACAACAAUGUAUCACCACCCUUAAAGAUUUGAACCACCACUACUACCAACAUAUAUAUGUAUCUCUAUACUCGAUCUUGUUUUGAACACAUUGUUCCAUUGUACAAAACUUGGGGUUCGAAGUCAUAGGCCUACUAUGGCUGUAAAACCUAAUUGCAUGAAUGGAUCCACGCAAAUCUGCAAGGAUCAAUGCAGAUCACACGAAUUUGUUGAUGCAAUAGUCAACACCGAUCAUGUGACCUGAAAAGAGGUGAAGAUUUGCAACCUAAAGACUUGUUGUGAUUUGGCGAAGGGGGGCCAUCCUCUAUAUUUUUGGAAUUUUUGGUUCAUUUGUGCAAUUUCUGGAUAAGGGUUUAAAAUGCAAUUUUAGGGGUUUGGAUUGCGGCUUGGUCUUUGUGUUGUUCGGAUUGUCAUUUUGUACGGUGAUUAGGGUGGAAAAGUUUAUGGUUUUCGAUUUUUUUCGGAUUUGAAGUGGUUUCAGGGAUGGUUUUGGUUCCUGGAUUUUGGUUUAAACAUGUAUUAACGUCAAUGACAUCAGAUCUGUAUCAUUUUUCUAAGCAUUGAGUUUUGUGGUUGAAGAUCUCGAAGAUUCUUCUAUCGAAAGAGCAUCCAAGGUCGAGAUCUCGAGGUAUGUUAAGUCUUCUUGGUCUAAUAAAGACUCCUUUGAGGAACUACUCUAUGGUUGCAUUCAAUAAUUUGUUCACAACUUGGUAUGCAGGUUGGACUCAAAGAAGUUUGACACGAAAGAAUAUUUUAUUCUUUUCGAAGAAAAAAGGCGACAAUGAUGCAACAACAGGUUGAGCAUGGAGGUUGAGAUUUUGGAGGUAUCCAAAAAAUCAAUCAUUCAACAACUUCAAAUAACUUCGCUAGGCAGGUAAAUACUUCAAAAAAUUAGGAGAUAUACAUUAACAUCAGCAUUACUAAUUUAUGCAUUAAGCUCAAAAGUCUUAAGAGUGCAAGCACGAGGAGAAGUCUUCAAAUAGAGGAAAAAUGUUUAGCAAGAAGAAGAUCUUAGACGACUUGAUGGUAAAAUUAAAAGAAAAUAUAAAGGUAAAUCAGAGAUUAGAUCAGAGGAAGCCUUAAGAAAAUGCUAUUGGUGUUGAAAGGACACCUUAAACCAUACAUACUUUAGAUGAAAGUAGAGAAACAAACAAGACAAAGCAUCAAAACAUACCACCGAAAUUGUUAAUGUUGAUUCAGACCAACUGAAGAUCGUGACGUUACUUAUCAAGAAUGGAUUCUUGAUUCAAAGUAUUCCUAUCACACGAGACAAAAAUAAGGCUUAGUUUCAAAAUAUUAGAAAGAUUGAUAUGAAAAAUGCUUAAAUUGGUAAAAUCAAUUAAUGUUGCCAAGAUACUGAAAUAAGCAAUAUAACGGUUAAAAAACUUGAUGACACUCACAAACUUUUGACUUAAGCUGGAUUUGUCCCUGACCUAAUAAGAAAUGCAUAAUUUAGGGUACAAUAAUAAAAAUGAUCACGAAAUCUUUGAAAAUAUUAAAGGUGAGAAACAUAAUUUUUUAAUUAUAGACUAGGCCGUGAAUGUAAUUAAGGAUUUCAAUACUACAUAAGCAAAAAUUGCUGCUGAAACAUGCAUAUAUAUAUGGAAUUGGUCACAUAAUUAGAACACCCGAUCAUGUUUUUGAUGUUUUAUGGGAAUCCUACACUUGGGGAAAAGACAUGGUUUAUCUUUAGAAUCAUGGAAAGUCUAGAUAUUUCUUCUGAAACACAAAAUACAACUUCCUAUACAUUCAGAUAGUGGCAAACUUUAAUAGAAGAUCAACUCGAGAAAAAUGCUAAACUUCUUUAGAGAUAUAUUUGGCCUAAAUCGUGUAAUGCUAAAUUUAAUGAUUCUUGGAAAUAGAAAUGAAUAUUAAGGUAAUAAAAUAGUCAAAUUCUCUCCUCAGCAUAAUGGAGUUGUCCAGAGGAUAAUUAAGACUAUAAUAAGUAAGAUGCAUGCUAAUCCCUCACUAAUCAUAAAUGGAUAGUCACUCACAAUGCAAUGAUAUAUUGAGUUUCAUAGAAUAUUCAUAUUUUGUAAAGUUCGAUGAGUUUUAAUAAAAAUAUUGACGCCAACAGAAGGUUUGUGGGAUUUGAUUUGAAACCUAGGU
RNAcentral lists this long non-coding RNA (2215 nucleotides) under Olea europaea subsp. europaea. Lineage: Eukaryota; Viridiplantae; Streptophyta; Magnoliopsida; Lamiales; Oleaceae. The record is from RNAcentral.